This is a long non-coding RNA of Zingiber officinale, 1482 nucleotides long. RefSeq lists it as uncharacterized. The record is from RefSeq and is a predicted model, not a curated record. NCBI's taxonomy places the organism in Eukaryota, Viridiplantae, Streptophyta, Magnoliopsida, Zingiberales, Zingiberaceae. The transcript is spliced from 6 exons.
UAAACCUCCGACCAUCUCUCUCAGCCUCAUCUCCCUCUUCCCCUUCCUGGAUCGACGCCCCUUCCUUCUUCCCCUUCCUGGAUCAACGCCUCUUCCUCUCCCGAGCAGGAUCAAAACCACCUGCUUCGAUCCUAAGCAAAAUCACAGCAUAAAUCGUUCCGUUCUGCCUCCUCGUCCGAUCCUCUCUUCCUCCUCCUUCCUCUCUUCGCUCUUCCCGGCUAAGGUAGGGGCCGACGAGAUCCGAACAGCGAGAGGACGCCCACGACCACCAUUGCACAGUUGGUCGGUAACGUGAGGGAAUCCGAAGGAAGAAAGAACAACACCGAGAUCCAGGAGCUUGCUUGCUUUGCCGUCGACGAGCACAACAAGAAACAGAAUGUGCUUUUGGAGUUUGCGCGUGUUGUGAAGGCGAGGGAGCAAGUUGUCGCUGGAACUCUGCAUCACUUGACGGUGGAGGCAGUUGAGGGAGGGGAGAAGAAGAUUGAUGGAAUCGCUAUUUUGGUGCCGUUAUUUUGGUGUUCAUUAUUGUGCCGUUAUUUUGGUAUGUCGAAAUCAUUAAUCUGGUCCCUGCGCUACUGUGAGCUGAGUCCUGGUGACGACCUAGGACACGAAUCGGGUCUCCGAGGUUGGAAGACCUCCGCCGCAAGGAAGGGAGCGAACUGCCGAAGCCCGAGCUACAUCGCCGCCAAGCCCAUCCUCCGGCAGCUUCCUCACAGGCGGCUCUUCUAAAUUCCGAAGACCUUCGUACAUCCUGACUCUCAUCCUCCUGAUUUGCCAAAGGAGGCGUUGCAUGCCCCCGCCUCCGCUGAAGUAGCACCGCCUGAGUCGAACCCUUACAUCGCUCACUCACCCGCCACUAACUCUUCCUCGUCGACAACGGAGACUGUGAAGACCGUGUUUAAGAGAUGGGGAAAAAACUCAUGGAGUCGGCGAAGAAAGCUGAGGACUUGUCUAAAAAUACAUGGCAGCAUCUGAACACAGGACCAAGUUUUGUUGAAGCUACCAUGGGAAGAAUUGCUCAAGGAACCAAAGUGAUUGGAAAAGGUGGCUACGAUAAGAUAUUUUGACAAACUUUUGAUACCCUUCCUGAAGAACAACUAAAAAAAUCCUAUGCCUGUUAUUUAUCAACAUCUGCUGGUCUGAAUGGAGUUAUUAUAAGCUGAAUAUGAUUCUUUUACUUCAUUUGUAACUGCAAAUUCAACUUUCUGAUACCUUGUGAACCACUGAAGAUCCUUAUUGCAAGCAUUGAAGUGAUUGAAGAGUUUGCUAAGAGUCCAUGUUUGGAGCACUACAAGAACCUUGGAGCAACUUAACAUUUCGAAUAAGAUGUAGUAGGAGCAUAUAGAGCCUGCGUUGUGUACUCUUAGUGAUAAACAGUUCCCAGGAAUGAUAGAUCUAUCACUAUAUGAUGUGGUUGAGAUAAUUGAUGAAUGUUUCUCUUUUUAAGUAUUCCAAUUAGUCAUCUUGUUACCUGGUGCUCUU